AGAACGAACGCUGGCGGCAGGCUUAACACAUGCAAGUCGAACGCUCGUGAGCGAUCACGGGAGUGGCAGACGGGUGAGUAACGCGUGGGAACAUACCCUUUGGUUCGGGAUAACUCAGGGAAACUUGAGCUAAUACCGGAUACGCCCCUGGACGAAAGUCUUUGGGGGAAAGAUUGAUUGCCGGAGGAUUGGCCCGCGUUCGAUUAGCUUGUUGGUGAGGUAACGGCUCACCAAGGCGACGAUCGAUAGCUGGUCUGAGAGGAUGAUCAGCCACAUUGGGACUGAGACACGGCCCAAACUCCUACGGGAGGCAGCAGUGGGGAAUAUUGGACAAUGGGCGCAAGCCUGAUCCAGCCAUGCCGCGUGAGUGAUGACGGCCUUAGGGUUGUAAAGCUCUUUCGCUCGGGACGAUAAUGACGGUACCGAGAUAAGAAGCCCCGGCUAACUUCGUGCCAGCAGCCGC
Molecule: ribosomal RNA, 463 nt
Filed under: uncultured bacterium
Lineage: Bacteria
Description: SSU rRNA
Rfam family: Bacterial small subunit ribosomal RNA
Source: RNAcentral